This 381-nucleotide ribosomal RNA is filed under the name uncultured bacterium. Its description in RNAcentral is "bacterial SSU rRNA". It matches the Rfam family "Archaeal small subunit ribosomal RNA", at positions 473 to 853 of the family's 1478-position model. RNAcentral also lists the same sequence under 1 other name. The record is from RNAcentral.
ACACCGGCGGCCCGAGUGGUGAUCACUAUUAUUGGGUCUAAAGGGUCCGUAGCCGGUUUGAUCAGUCUUUUGGGAAAUCUGACAGCUCAACUGUUAGGCUUCCAAGGGAUACUGUCAGACUUGGGACCGGGAGAGGUAAGGGGUACCACAGGGGUAGGAGUGAAAUCUUGUAAUCCCUGUGGGACCACCGGUGGCGAAGGCGCCUUACCAGAACGGGUCCGACGGUGAGGGACGAAAGCUGGGGGAACGAACCGGAUUAGAUACCCGGGUAGUACCAGCCGUAAACGAUGUUCGCUAGGUGUCAUGGAUGGUGCGACCGUUCAUGGUGCCGCAGGGAAGCCGUGAAGCGAACCACCUGGGAAGUACGGCCGCAAGGCUGAA